CAGCAGCCGCGGUAAAACGGAGGGAGCUAGCGUUGUUCGGAAUUACUGGGCGUAAAGCGCGCGUAGGCGGUUACUCAAGUCAGAGGUGAAAGCCCGGGGCUCAACCCCGGAACUGCCUUUGAAACUAGGUGACUAGAAUCUUGGAGAGGUCAGUGGAAUUCCGAGUGUAGAGGUGAAAUUCGUAGAUAUUCGGAAGAACACCAGUGGCGAAGGCGACUGACUGGACAAGUAUUGACGCUGUGGUGCGAAAGCGUGGGGAGCAAACAGGAUUAGAUACCCCGGUAGUCCCUGUCUCUUAUAC
Molecule: ribosomal RNA, 301 nt
Filed under: uncultured bacterium
Lineage: Bacteria
Description: partial 16S ribosomal RNA
Rfam family: Bacterial small subunit ribosomal RNA
Source: RNAcentral